GGUCCCACUCCUUCCCAUUCCGAACAGGACAGUGAAACGCCUCUGCGCCGAUGAUAGUUGGUUGUAUUUCCAGUGAAAGUAGGUCAUCGCCAGGC
Molecule: ribosomal RNA, 95 nt
Filed under: Sutterella wadsworthensis
Lineage: Bacteria; Pseudomonadati; Pseudomonadota; Betaproteobacteria; Burkholderiales; Sutterellaceae
Source: RNAcentral